CGCAAAUUAUAGAAAGAAAAAACAAGCAUCGUUUGCCGAUGUUAAAGUAGAAUGAAGAUAAUUUACCUGCGACCACAAAAGAAUGGUUCCUUUGAAGCCAAAUUUCACCACCACACAAAGUAAUAAUGUAUUACAAGUUCAGAUUUUCCUCAAUAUGAUACAAAUAAUGAAAAAAGCAAAAAAAAUCGUAGAAAUUCAAUAAAGGUGUAGUUUGUCCAGGAAGUUGAUACAGAAAAGAAACAAGUUUCGGUAAUCGAUUCCGUAGAGAAAAGGGACUUCCUUUUUCUUGCAUUCAAUUUCCCUAUUGUUUCUUCAAUUUUCUCUCUCGUAUCUGUUCUCCCAAUCGUCUAUUUGAUAAAUUAUAAAGAAGACGUCAGGUCUAAG
RNAcentral lists this long non-coding RNA (384 nucleotides) under Olea europaea subsp. europaea. Lineage: Eukaryota; Viridiplantae; Streptophyta; Magnoliopsida; Lamiales; Oleaceae. The record is from RNAcentral.